CCCGCUGAACUUAAGCAUAUCAAUAAGCGGAGGAAAAGAAACCAACAGGGAUUGCCUCAGUAACGGCGAGUGAAGCGGCAACAGCUCAAAUUUGAAAUCUGGCCUCUCGGGGUCCGAGUUGUAAUUUGUAGAGGAUGUUUCGGGUACCGCUCCGGUUUAAAUUUCUUGGAACAGAAUGUCAGAGAGGGUGAGAAUCCCGUCUUGGACCGGUGGUAGGGCCUAUGUGAAACUCCUUCGACGAGUCGAGUUGUUUGGGAAUGCAGCUCAAAAUGGGUGGUAAAUUUCAUCUAAAGCUAAAUAUUGGCCAGAGACCGAUAGCGCACAAGUAGAGUGAUCGAAAGAUGAAAAGCACUUUGGAAAGAGAGUUAAAUAGCACGUGAAAUUGUUGAAAGGGAAGCGCUUGCAAUCAGACUUGCACGCAGUUGAUCAUCCGGUGUUCUCACUGGUGCACUCGGCUGUGUUCAGGCCAGCAUCAGUUUUGGUGGUUGGAUAAAGGCCAGAGGAAUGUGGCUUCCUUCGAGGAGUGUUAUAGCCUCUGGUGCAAUGCAGCCUACUGGGACUGAGGACCGCGCUUCGGCUAGGAUGCUGGCGUAAUGGUUGUAAGCGACCCGUCUUGAAACACGG
Molecule: ribosomal RNA, 624 nt
Filed under: uncultured fungus
Lineage: Eukaryota; Fungi
Description: eukaryotic LSU rRNA
Rfam family: Eukaryotic large subunit ribosomal RNA
Source: RNAcentral